RNAcentral lists this long non-coding RNA (515 nucleotides) under Gallus gallus (chicken). Lineage: Eukaryota; Metazoa; Chordata; Aves; Galliformes; Phasianidae. The record is from RNAcentral.
UGCCCAGCAGAACCAACUCUACGUAAGAUAUAUUUGACAUUUUUAUUUAUUAUACAUUUAACGCCAAGAAGACAGCCAUGUCGAUAGGACUCCUCCUUGUCCCAGUACACAAGACAUUCAGAGCCACAGACAACUCUGGGAGCCCUGUCACAGCACAUUCAUUACUCCAUCCAGCAGGGACACAUCCUAAAAACGGAUCCAGUACAUGCCACUGCGGAUACGGUUGUAAUCCAACAGCUGUUCAAUGGGACCAACUGCUGCAAGCGCUGGGCAUUUGUCAUAGAUGUAUUUACUGCAUACAUCCCUCACCAUUCUUGCAUCAACAGCAGAAAUCCUGGAAUCCCAUUCCUCCAGAGAGAUACGGCGUCCAUAAUUUAAGAGAUGGCUUCCAAUUGUUUCACACACUGGAGUAGUACCAUCUAGCUGAGCCACCAUGGCACUUCGUAGAUGGUUCUUGGCUCUCUUCACCUCUGACUCCGUGGUGCUAGUGCACAAACGCAUCCACUCGCCCUGAG